CCGUUUCAACAUUUGUUAACUCCCAUUUAUUUCCUUCUUAAAACAUAGCCAAUCUUUAAAACAAAGGCCAUUAACCCAAUUUGUUAGGGUUUCAUUUGGCAAGAAGCCGCUGAACCACCAUUUUAUUUGGUGACCGAUAGUUUUUAGGUAAUGGCCAGAUCUGGUACAUGCCCACAGAGAUCCGGUAAGCUUUCCUUUUUUCUUUUUCUUCUUCAUUCUUUUUAAAAAAACUUCAAAUCCUUGUUAUUUUUUCAAGGAAGAUGAAAAAAAAAGGUUCAUAGAGCAAGGAAAUUCUCCACAUUGUUCGACCCCUCGCCCUUACCUCCGCAUCUAUGAGGUAUUCGGGCUCCUCAUCAGUGUCGAUUUACAUAAAAAAAAAAUUAAAUCAACCAAAAGGAAAAUAAAUCGACAGAGAGAAAAAAAGGAACUUUGAAAUCACCUUUACUAUCUUGAUUGCUUUUUUUCUAUUCUGUGUGUCUCCCCAAAAAAAUUACAAUCGAUUCCCCCUGGCUUUAUAGUCGAAUGUUCAAAUAAAAAUACAAUUUUUCUUUUUGCUUUCGUAUUGGCUAUUGUUGCUGUUGUUUGCUUGUUUUUUUCGCAGGUACGGAGCGUGUGCUGGCACCUGGCGUGAGGCGUACGGAGGCGCGCGUGGUGGAAGUACAGUAGCUGCUGGUGGCUGCGGCGCUAAGCAGAGGCUAAGAUUUCUGCCUUGAUUUUUUUGUUUUUGGGCUGUAGAGCAUUUGGGCCUUGUAAAUGGACUUAUAAUUGGACUAUUCAAUUAAUUUUUAUUUGGUUUAUUUUUUGUUUAGUGGGCCCGGGUAAAAAUGAGCUUUUACAGUAAUAAUAGAAUUCAUUACUACAUUUUCAUAUUAUUCCUCAAAGAAUAUUAAAAGAAACAAAAUAUUUGAGCAUACGCCACAUAUGUGGCUAAGAAUCUUUCAUAUCACAUUAAUAACAUAAGUUAUCUUUACCCUUUAAAAAGUUAUCUUGAGAACUCUCAUUGUUUUCUUAUUUAUUACUAUGUUCCUACUUUUAGUGGUCAAUGAGUAUAUCUUUUAUUUUCUUUAUGUUUACAUUCACUUCGAGGAAUGCAACAAAUCUAGUAGGACGGACUUAUAAGCAUUCCAAUAGAUUCUUUAUUUCAUAAUUACCAUCGCAAACAUGCAUGAGAUUUCAAAACAAAAUCUAUCUAUGCAUGUUGUAAUUAUUAGUCUCCAAUUAUAAUAAAUAAUAAAUAAAACAUAGUAAAAUAUACCUAAAAAUCUUUAACAUCAUCGUCAUCAC
Molecule: long non-coding RNA, 1284 nt
Filed under: Gossypium barbadense (sea-island cotton)
Lineage: Eukaryota; Viridiplantae; Streptophyta; Magnoliopsida; Malvales; Malvaceae
Description: long non-coding RNA (GBAR_LNC005787)
Source: RNAcentral